RNAcentral lists this long non-coding RNA (217 nucleotides) under Mytilus galloprovincialis (Mediterranean mussel). The record is from RNAcentral. Lineage: Eukaryota; Metazoa; Mollusca; Bivalvia; Mytilida; Mytilidae.
GUGGUCCUAUAUUGUUGUCAUUGUUAGCAUUGCUGCUGUGGUAUUUUUAAUGAUAUUACAUUCCAGAUGUCAUAUGGAAGAGAAACAACAUAAAGUAGAAUAAUAGAAGAAUUGAAACAUAAAAGUUCAAAACCGAUAGAAGCGCAGCCAAUGUAAAAUGGCAGAAGUAAAACACAACACAAAUUACAAUAACAGUCUAACAGUGUAUUUGUCGUGA